RNAcentral lists this ribosomal RNA (497 nucleotides) under uncultured bacterium. RNAcentral's name for it is "partial 16S ribosomal RNA". It matches the Rfam family "Bacterial small subunit ribosomal RNA", at positions 28 to 507 of the family's 1533-position model. The record is from RNAcentral.
GAUGAACGCUGGCGGCGUGCCUAAUACAUGCAAGUCGAGCGGACAGACGAUGCUUUUGCUCGUCUGACGUUAGGGGCGGGCGGGUGAGUAACACGUGUAUACCCUACCUAUAAGACUGAUAUCACUUCGGGAAACCGGAUCUAACACCGUAGGAGAUCUUGAACCGCGGUGGUCAUUAGAGCAAAACGGAUUUUCUGGCUCUUAUAGAUGGUUCCGGGCCGGUUUGGCUAGUUGGUACGGUAACGGCCUACCAAGGCGAGGAUGCGUAGGCGACCUGAGAGGGUGAUCGGCCACACUGGAACUGAGACACGGUCCAGACUACUACGGGAGGCACCAGUCGGGAAUCUUAGGCAAUGGGCGAAAGCAUGACGGAGCAACGCCGAGUGAGUGAUGAAGGUCUUCGGAUCGUAAAGCUCUGUUAUUAGGGAAGAACAAAUGUGUAAGUAAAUAUGGCCGUCUUGACGGUACCUAAUAAAAAAGCACCGGCUAACUACGUG